AGAGUUUGAUCAUGGCUCAGGAUGAACGCUAGCGGGAGGCCUAACACAUGCAAGCCGAGCGGUAGAGAUUCUUCGGAAUCUUGAGAGCGGCGUACGGGUGCGGAACACGUGUGCAACCUACCUUUAUCUGGAGGAUAGCCUUUCGAAAGGAAGAUUAAUACUCCAUAAUAUAUUGAUUGGCAUCAAUUGAUAUUGAAAGCUCCGGCGGAUAGAGAUGGGCACGCGCAAGAUUAGUUAGUUGGUGAGGUAACGGCUCACCAAGACGAUGAUCUUUAGGGGGCCUGAGAGGGUGAUCCCCCCACACUGGUACUGAGACACGGACCAGACUCCUACGGGAGGCAGCAGUGAGGAAUAUUGGUCAAUGGGUGCAAGCCUGAACCAGCCAUCCCGCGUGAAGGACGACUGCCCUAUGGGUUGUAAACUUCUUUUGUAUAGGGAUAAACCUACCCUCGUGAGGGUAGCUGAAGGUACUAUACGAAUAAGCACCGGCUAACUCCGUG
Molecule: ribosomal RNA, 500 nt
Filed under: uncultured bacterium
Lineage: Bacteria
Description: bacterial SSU rRNA
Rfam family: Bacterial small subunit ribosomal RNA
Source: RNAcentral